Molecule: microRNA precursor, 70 nt
Filed under: Tursiops truncatus (common bottlenose dolphin)
Lineage: Eukaryota; Metazoa; Chordata; Mammalia; Artiodactyla; Delphinidae
Description: miRNA (ENSTTRG00000025352.1)
Source: RNAcentral
UUGGCCAAAAAGUUCAUUCGGGGUUUUUCCAUACAGUGUUAUGGAAAAACCCGAACAAAAUUUUUGGCCA